UCUAAUCAUGAUAGAUUUGAGUAUGUGGGAUCUAUAUAUAAAGGAGGAUCACAAGCCCUUUCUCAUGUUGACACAAGUACAUACAAUGCAUGUAUAAAUGCCCCACUACUGUGAAGCUGAUCAAUUGCUGAAACUAUUGUUCCAAUCUGAAUAUGUUAUCUUAUAGUUUAUUCCAAUCUGAAAUUUUAUCCAAUUGAUUUUCAGCUGGCCUGAUGGAGCAAAUGAAAUUGGACCGUUAUUUGCAUCCCCACUUCCGGUAUACAUGAGGGAGGUUAGGACCGUGGUUUAUUCCCAAUUCUUGGAAUCCUAUAAGAUUGUCACAAUUAAGGCAAUGGCAAAAGCAUUUGGAGUAACAGUGGAGUUCAUUGAUUUGGAACUGUGACGUUUUAUUGCAGCAAGGAAGCUUCACUGCAAGAUUGAUAAAGUUGCCGAUGUUUUGGAAACUAACCGUCCAGAUGCAAAGAAUGCUCUUUAUCAAGCAACUAUCAAGCAAGGGGACUUCCUACUAAACCGAAUUCAGAAGCUUUCUCGUGUGAUUGAUCUUUGAAAGCAUUUCUUGCGUUUUGGAAAAUGAUGCC
Molecule: non-coding RNA, 578 nt
Organism: Camellia sinensis
Lineage: Eukaryota; Viridiplantae; Streptophyta; Magnoliopsida; Ericales; Theaceae
Source: RefSeq, a predicted model, not a curated record